GCAAACUUGGUCAUUUAGAGGAAGUAAAAGUCGUAACAAGGUUUCCGUAGGUGAACCUGCGGAAGGAUCAUUAUUGAAAGAAUUAAGGUGGGUACUGUUGCUGGUCUUUUAACCAAGACAUGUGCACGUACUAGCCGCUUUCAUUCAUCCACCUGUGCACUUUUUGUAGGAGUUCUUUUAGGUUGGCUAAUAGGUUUCACAACCUUGCAGUCGGUUUAGAAGGCUUCUAUGUCUUACAAACAAGUUAAGCAUGUUUGAGAAUGUUCUUUUAUUGGGACUUCAUUGACCCUUUAAAACUUUAUACAACUUUCAGCAACGGAUCUCUUGGCUCUCCCAUCGAUGAAGAACGCAGC
Molecule: unclassified non-coding RNA, 353 nt
Filed under: uncultured fungus
Lineage: Eukaryota; Fungi
Description: partial contains small subunit ribosomal RNA, internal transcribed spacer 1, and 5.8S ribosomal RNA
Rfam family: Eukaryotic small subunit ribosomal RNA (bases 1-73)
Source: RNAcentral